GACGAUGAAUUAGAAGAAUACUAGCUAGCUUCUUAGUAUUAAUUAUAAUGACAAGCUUUGGAAACACACCCCUGUCCGUAAAAUAAGGUCUUUGAGAUAAAUUAAAGUCGCAAAGACUUGUGUUUGAGUUUUUUUUUUUUUUUUGUAAGUACUAUUUCAAACAAGGAAAAAGUAACACACCAAACGAUUAUAAUCAUAACAAAAGGGAGAUCACAGCUAAUAAUAUAUAUUUUUUAAAAAGAUAGAAAGAAGAGAGACUAAAACACAAAUUAAGAUAUUAAUAAUUAUUUCAAGAAAAGAUUGUAGUGGUCGGUAGAAAAAGAAUAAUUAACAAAUAAAUAAGUUUUUUUCUGAG
This 355-nucleotide long non-coding RNA is filed under the name Capsella rubella. RNAcentral describes it as "long non-coding RNA (CRUB_LNC004741)". Lineage: Eukaryota; Viridiplantae; Streptophyta; Magnoliopsida; Brassicales; Brassicaceae. The record is from RNAcentral.